AACCUCCGCAAUGUGAGAAAUCGCGACGGGGGGAUCCCAAGUGCCAUUCUUAACGGGAUGGCUUUUCAUUAGUGUAAAGAGCUUUUGGAAUAAGGGCUGGGCAAGACCGGUGCCAGCCGCCGCGGUAACACCGGCAGCUCUAGUGGUAGCAGUUUUUAUUGGGCCUAAAGCGUCCGUAGCCGGUUUAAUAAGUCUCUGGUGAAAUCCUGUAGCUUAACUGUGGGAAUUGCUGGAGAUACUAUUAGACUUGAGACCGGGAGAGGUUAGAGGUACUCCCAGGGUAGAGGUGAAAUUCUGUAAUCCUGGGAGGACCGCCUGUUGCGAAGGCGUCUAACUGGAACGGUUCUGACGGUGAGGGACGAAAGUUAGGGGCGCGAACCGGAUUAGAUACCCGGGUAGUCCUAACUGUAAACGAUGCGGACUUGGUGUUGGGGUGGCUUUGAGCUGCUCCAGUGCCGAAGGGAAGCUGUAAGUCGCCGCCUGGGAAGUACGGUCGCAAGACUGAACUUAAAGGAGUU
Molecule: ribosomal RNA, 518 nt
Filed under: uncultured bacterium
Lineage: Bacteria
Description: bacterial SSU rRNA
Rfam family: Archaeal small subunit ribosomal RNA
Source: RNAcentral